RNAcentral lists this transfer RNA (75 nucleotides) under candidate division WWE3 bacterium RIFCSPLOWO2_01_FULL_39_13. Its description in RNAcentral is "tRNA-Asn". It matches the Rfam family "tRNA". From Rfam's summary of the family: Transfer RNA (tRNA) molecules are approximately 80 nucleotides in length. Their secondary structure includes four short double-helical elements and three loops (D, anti-codon, and T loops). The record is from RNAcentral. Lineage: Bacteria; candidate division WWE3.
UCCGCGGUAGCUCAACGGUAGAGCAGAAAGCUGUUAACUUUAAGGUUGCUGGUUCGAAUCCAGCCCGCGGAGCCA